CCCUUAGAUGUCCUGGGCUGCACGCGCGCUACACAGAUGUGUCCAGUAAGCACCUAACCUCUUCCGAAAGGAACGGGUAACCUUUGCAAAGCACAUCGUGAUGGGGAUAGAUUAUUGCAAUUAUUAGUCUUGAACGAGGAAUUCCUAGUAAGCACAAGUCAUCAGCUUGUGUUGAUUACGUCCCUGCCCUUUGUACACACCGCCCGUCGCUCCUACCGAUUGAAUGUUCCGGUGAGCUCUUCGGACUGCGCGGUCUGCAGUUUCUGCGUUCCGUGCGGAAAGUUGCGCAAACCUUAACAUUUAGAGGAAGGAGAAGUCGUAACA
This 324-nucleotide ribosomal RNA is filed under the name uncultured eukaryote. RNAcentral's name for it is "partial 18S ribosomal RNA". It matches the Rfam family "Eukaryotic small subunit ribosomal RNA", at positions 1470 to 1796 of the family's 1831-position model. The record is from RNAcentral.